Molecule: long non-coding RNA, 414 nt
Organism: Mirounga angustirostris (Northern elephant seal)
Lineage: Eukaryota; Metazoa; Chordata; Mammalia; Carnivora; Phocidae
Exons: 3
Source: RefSeq, a predicted model, not a curated record
AUUCAUUUCUCUAACCAGCCAAUAAUGUAAAUCAACACACUGUAAUGGAAAAACGCACAACAACCCUGGUCAGGAGAUCUGCCGUCUGGUCCUACCUUAGCUACUGACUCACUGUUAGCCCCGAGGGAAAUUUUUUUCAAUUCCGUUGGAACUUUUCUUCACCUCCUACGAAGACUAGGAAGAAGAGUGAUCAAAAGGAAAGCCAGUAACAGCAAGAAACAGGGAAAAUACAUCAUCAUCCAGAGAGAAAACUGUCACCAUUAUUCUCAGCUCUAUGACAAGUGAAUUGCUUCUAGGACUAUUUCACAAAGUACUGAAGUACCUGCUAUUUGAAGCAUUUAACCAAAAAGGAUGGAUGGUCAUCUGGCAAAGACACUAUCAAAGCCAUGCCUAUAUGGAGAGAAGAGACUAGCU